ACUGUACCACUGUAUUUUUCAAGGAAUCAGGAGACCUGUGACAUGGUGCUGACAUGGAGAUAAGCUAACAGGGCCGUGUGACUUGAAUGAGAAAUCAGAGGCUCACAGAUGUUUAUAAAAAAUUCCUGGGCUUCCCUGGUGGCGCAGUGGUUGAGAGUCUGCCUGCCGAUGCAGGGGACACGGGUUCGUGCCCCGGUCCGGGAAGA
Molecule: long non-coding RNA, 206 nt
Organism: Delphinapterus leucas (beluga whale)
Lineage: Eukaryota; Metazoa; Chordata; Mammalia; Artiodactyla; Monodontidae
Source: RefSeq, a predicted model, not a curated record